GGCAGAAUCGGCAGAGAAGGUCUGUUUAGGGAGGGAGCGGAGGAUCUUUUUCUUUAGACCUUUGUUUGCAGCUGAAGGAACGGGAGGCGUCGACGGUGCCGAGGCGUUGGCCAUCGAGGAAAGUCUUCUGAGCCAUGCGCAGCGAGCAACUGCUAUGAGUCCCAGAACGCAGAUAAGAGCGCAUAGCAGUGCCGCCAGAAUCACCACGAAAUCUGAGUCUAAAGUAGCCGGUUGUUC
This 237-nucleotide unclassified non-coding RNA is filed under the name Hevea brasiliensis (rubber tree). Lineage: Eukaryota; Viridiplantae; Streptophyta; Magnoliopsida; Malpighiales; Euphorbiaceae. The record is from RNAcentral.